UUCUCUCUCGCGAGGGAGUGUCUGGUUCUCGAACAACAUUGUCCUUGUCCGCCAAUUAGGUCAUAUUACUGGGAAUCUAUUUACACGGAGAGGAAUUAUGGAAAGAUACAACUUUGAGGUUUGGACGUCACUCUACAGAUGAACCCUCUAUCCUGACACCUCUGGAGCAGUGCUGCAGGAUCCGUCACUCUACCCUCCUGUGUCUGUCUGCGUCUCCUCUCCCUGCCCCAGUACAGUCUGAUGUCAUGAGGGACUUUUUCAUGAUCCUCUAUUCCCGUGGCCCCUCUCCACCCUGGACCAUCGCCUAGCAACCGUGCUCAGAACCUUUGAGCCGUUGCCAGGAUCAACAGUGUAGCCUCCAUGGACGAGGCGAGGAUUAUGUCACUCAUUAUAAGACCUUGGUUACACCUGUGACACAUGCAGGGUAGUCUCUUAGAAAACAGGAUUCCAAAUGGGUUCUUCAGCUGUCCCCAUAGGAGAACUCUUUUGGGUUCCAGUUGUGUUAAGGUAGGGAUGGUAUACAGAACAUAGCUCUAUUUGCAAGUCCAUAUUAUGGCAAGAACAGCUCAAAUAAGCAAAGAGAAAUGACAGUCCAUCAUUACUUUAAGACAUGAAGGUCAGUCAAAAUGUCAAGAACUAUUAAAGUUUCUGCAGGUGCAGUCGCAAAAACUAUCAAGCACUAUGAUGAAACUGGCUCACAUCAGGACCCCCACAGGAAAGGAAGACCCAGAGUUACCUUUGCUGCAGAGGAUAAGUUCAUUAGAGUUAACUGCACCUCAGAUUGCCGCCCAAAUACAUGCUUUGGAGAGUUCAAUUUACAGACAAAUCUUAACGUAAACAGUUCAGAGGAGACUGCGUGAAUCAGGCCUUCAUGGUCGAAUUGCUACAAAGAAACCACUACCAAAGGACACCAAUAAGAAGAGGAGACUUGCUUG
This is a long non-coding RNA of Oncorhynchus kisutch (coho salmon), 935 nucleotides long. RefSeq lists it as uncharacterized. Lineage: Eukaryota; Metazoa; Chordata; Actinopteri; Salmoniformes; Salmonidae. The transcript has 3 exons. The record is from RefSeq and is a predicted model, not a curated record.